GAUGAACGCUGGCGGCGUGCCUAAUACAUGCAAGUCGAGCGAACGGACGAGAAGCCUGCUUCUCUGAUGUUAGCGGCGGACGGGUGAGUAACACGUGGAUAACCUACCUAUAAGACUGGGAUAACUUCGGGAAACCGGAGCUAAUACCGGAUAAUAUUUUGAACCGCAUGGUUCAAAAGUGAAAGACGGUCUUGCUGUCACUUAUAGAUGGAUCCGCGCUGCAUUAGCUAGUUGGUAAGGUAACGGCUUACCAAGGCAACGAUGCAUAGCCGACCUGAGAGGGUGAUCAGCCACACUGGAACUGAGACACGGUCCAGACUCCUACGGGAGGCAGCAGUAGGGAAUCUUGCGCAAUGGGCGAAAGCCUGACGGAGCAACGCCGCGUGAGUGAUGAAGGUCUUCGGAUCGUAAAACUCUGUUAUUAGGGAAGAACAUAUGUGUAAGUAAAUGUGCACAUCUUGACGGUACCUAAUCAGAAAGCCACGGCUAACUACGUG
This 497-nucleotide ribosomal RNA is filed under the name uncultured bacterium. RNAcentral's name for it is "partial 16S ribosomal RNA". It matches the Rfam family "Bacterial small subunit ribosomal RNA", at positions 28 to 507 of the family's 1533-position model. The record is from RNAcentral.